UGGCUGCAGUUUUUUGCUUAAAACAGUGUAAGUAGCAAUUUAAGACCGGAAGUAUGAAAUAGUAAACAAAGGGUUGUAGCAGGCCCAGGGCCUGCAAGGCCUCCUUGGAGGUCAGAAGCCUGAGCUAGGAAAUGCCAAGUCAUGAUGACGGGACCUUAGCAGCCCCUCUCUUCCACCUUUCAGACCCUGCUCAUCUCUCUGUAAGCCCAUAGGUCACUUUCCUUUGACCCUUACUAUCGGACAAUUUCCAAAACCCCUGUAAGGUAUAUAAACCCCUACUUCUGCCUGGUUUGGCAGAAGAGCUGUCACUGAGAACCUUUGUAGAGGACACCAAUAAAGAAUUCUUCGGAACCUCACACAACGCUUCUCCUCUUUCUCCCGGAGUUUGCUAUGGCACCUAGCAAGCUAAAGAGCUGAAAUCCCAAAGAGCUGAUAAUCACUAAGAGCUGAUAUCCCUUGAGCUUGCUUAGGUUGUCUGUGGCUGGGAGCUGCUUGGGAAUUCGGAUGCUGUGCUGAGCCCCACAGAGCUAUCAUGGCCAAGCCAGCCCACCGGGCAUAGCCCGGCUGGAAGCCGCCUUCAAUAAAGGGUGGUGGCUCUGCAUUGACCAGAGCAUUGGACCAGAUGACCUCUACAUGAAGUACAGGUUAUCUCACCAAAUGAGCACUAGAUAAUCAGCAAACUGCCUUUUAUGCCAAGUAGUCACGUUCUUGCCAAGGGUUUUGUCGUGGAUCAAUAUGCACCCCAGAGAAAAUGGAUUUUUUCCUGUUCUUGACAGAUGAUUGCCAUAUUGAAGCUCAUCAUGAGUUUGCUCUAGCUGGUAACUAUGUUGAUAUGCACAAAAGAAGAGGGAAUUAACUGAAUAAGCACAAGAAAUAAAGUAUUUUCAUGUUUCUACAGAUGGCUUAAAUAAAGGCUGAGAAAUUAUUUGAAGAA
Passer domesticus (house sparrow) is the source of this 934-nucleotide long non-coding RNA. RefSeq lists it as uncharacterized. NCBI's taxonomy places the organism in Eukaryota, Metazoa, Chordata, Aves, Passeriformes, Passeridae. The transcript has 2 exons. The record is from RefSeq and is a predicted model, not a curated record.